CCAGGACAAAAGACUUCCUGAGCCCCCCUGGGACUGCCUGGGACCCCAGCCGGGAGGCGACAUCCCUUGGGUCCCAGUCCUAUGAGGAUAUGAGGGGGAUCCUGUAUGCAGCCCCCCAGCUCCGCUCCGUUCGGGCCCAGCCGGGUCCCAAUCAUGAGGAAGAUGCAGAUUCUUACGAGAACAUGGAUAAUCCUGAUGGGCCCAGACCAGCGUGUGGAGGAGGGAGCCACAAGGGGACCUGGAGCACCCGCUGAUUCCCUUCAGGUUCCUGAGAUCCACACCUGACUGAGAUCUGGGGACCCACAGCAGAUGAUGUCAACCUCGAGCGACGCUGCUCAGGCUGUGUGUACCCGUGUGUGUCUGUGUGCACAAGUGGAACGUCAGUCCCGUUCGCACUGCCCAAAUAAACUCCACGAGCUGUUCCAGUC
Molecule: long non-coding RNA, 428 nt
Organism: Myotis lucifugus (little brown bat)
Lineage: Eukaryota; Metazoa; Chordata; Mammalia; Chiroptera; Vespertilionidae
Exons: 5
Source: RefSeq, a predicted model, not a curated record